This 599-nucleotide ribosomal RNA is filed under the name Holtermanniella wattica. RNAcentral's name for it is "eukaryotic LSU rRNA". The stretch from base 45 to 198 matches the Rfam family "5.8S ribosomal RNA". Lineage: Eukaryota; Fungi; Basidiomycota; Tremellomycetes; Holtermanniales. The record is from RNAcentral.
CUUUAAAUACAACUGUGACGAACGUAAAUUAUUAUAACAAAUAAAACUUUUAACAACGGAUCUCUUGGCUCUCGCAUCGAUGAAGAACGCAGCGAAAUGCGAUAAGUAAUGUGAAUUGCAGAAUUCAGUGAAUCAUCGAAUCUUUGAACGCACCUUGCGCCCGUUGGUAUUCCGACGGGCAUGCCUGUUUGAGUGUCGUGAACAACCUCAACCUUGAUUGGUUUUACCAUCAAGGCUUGGACUUGGGUGUUGCUGCUGCAAAGUGGCUCGCCUUAAAAUCAUUAGCUGGACUUGUCUAUGACUUGGUUCGACUCGAUGUAAUAAGUAUUCAUCGGGGACAGGGUAAAACCUGGCCAAGGCUUGAUGCCGUCUGCUUCUAAUCAUGUUCUCACUAUGAGACGCUACUUUACUGUGUGGCCUCAAAUCAGGUAGGAUUACCCGCUGAACUUAAGCAUAUCAAUAAGCGGAGGAAAAGAAACUAACAAGGAUUCCCCUAGUAACGGCGAGUGAAGCGGGAUGAGCUCAAAUUUGUAAUCUGGUGGACUCAGUUCAUCCGAGUUGUAAUCUAUAGAAGUGUUUUCCGCGCUGGACCGUGUCUA